UACGUAGGGUGCAAGCGUUACUCGGAAUUAUUGGGCGUAAAGCGCAUGUAGGCGGCUUUGCAAGUUUGAUGUGAAAUCCCUGGACUCAAUUCAGGAACUGCAUUGAAUACUGCAUGGCUAGAGUAUGAGAGAGGUAGGCGGAAUUCCUGGUGUAGAGGUGAAAUUCGUAGAUAUCAGGAGGAACAACAGAGGCGAAGGCGGCUUACUGGAUCAUAGCUGACGCUGAGAUGCGACAGUGUGGGGAGCAAACAGG
RNAcentral lists this ribosomal RNA (253 nucleotides) under uncultured bacterium. RNAcentral's name for it is "partial 16S ribosomal RNA". It matches the Rfam family "Bacterial small subunit ribosomal RNA", at positions 524 to 776 of the family's 1533-position model. The record is from RNAcentral.